RNAcentral lists this transfer RNA (74 nucleotides) under Petroclostridium sp. X23. Its description in RNAcentral is "tRNA-Gln". It matches the Rfam family "tRNA". From Rfam's summary of the family: Transfer RNA (tRNA) molecules are approximately 80 nucleotides in length. Their secondary structure includes four short double-helical elements and three loops (D, anti-codon, and T loops). Lineage: Bacteria; Bacillati; Bacillota; Clostridia; Eubacteriales; Oscillospiraceae. The record is from RNAcentral.
UGCGGGAUUGUGUAAAGGUAGCACGAGUGACUCUGACUCACUUUGUCUGGGUUCGAAUCCUAGUCCCGCAGCCA